RNAcentral lists this long non-coding RNA (909 nucleotides) under Castor canadensis (American beaver). RNAcentral's name for it is "lncRNA (ENSCCNG00000020760.1)". Lineage: Eukaryota; Metazoa; Chordata; Mammalia; Rodentia; Castoridae. The record is from RNAcentral.
GGGCUCAGAUGGUGACAUCUAGCCCAGCCCUCCUCAUUCAGUGACCUGACCCUGUGACCUAAUAGGUCAGGAAUGAAGAGCUGUCAUCUUCUGAUAACAGUCAGGUCCCACCCACCAAGAGCUCAGAGCGCUCUCCUGGCCCUCACAGGCUUCUGACCUCUUUCCCCAGCACUCUUUAAUCAUCAUUACUCCAGGCAUCUGAUUACUCAUCAGUUUCUCCAUUCUUUCACCGAUAGAAAAUUUCUUCCAUUCCUUUUGGGUGAGACCAGCCUUUGAACAGAUUGUAUUGUAGUCUUUGGUAUUCUGUGAUAGCAGCUUGACCAGAUUCACGUGGACAGUAUUCCAAGGAGAAGGUACAGCAAGCGUCAGAGCCCAAGGAUGUGGAAGGAGCAGGCAAAAAUCCCUGGAAUGUCCUGGAUUACCACGGACUGAUGUUGCUGUCCAAGAGAGAGAAGAGAAUUUGAAAUUUAGGUUGAAGAACAGCAAGAUCCAUUCUGCACACGAAGAGAAAGAAGCGUUGAAUUAUAUUAAGAAAAAAAAAGAAGAAGAAAUGAAGAGAGCUUUUCCCUCCAAUUUGUUCAGAGAAAGGGGAAGUGGAAGGAAAUGGAACUGUGACCAGGCUGCAGAGCACGGCCCUAACCAGGCGAGGCUAGGGACAUUAACAGGACAUGCCCAGAAGAAGCUUUCUCACCACGAAGAGGGACUUAGAUGCUAUCCUGGGGUGCCAGAGAGGCAUAGUAACUGGGAAGGGGUACAAUUGAGAUCCUUCUAUCACCAUCAAUCUGCCACUUAAAUGGCCGUUUUGGAUACAUCACAGGUCAAAAGAAACUUAGGCCACCAACCACAGGCAGACUAGGUAAAGGGCAUUGUCACCUUUCCAUCACUGUGACAAAAUAAACAACUUACAAG